CUGCUGCCUUCCGUAGGAGUCUGGUCCAUGUCUCAGUACCAGUGUGGGGGACCUUCCUCUCAGAACCCCCACGCAUCGUCGCCUUGGUGGGCCGUUACCCCGCCAACUAGCUAAUGCGACGCAUGACCAUCCGUAGCCGGAAUCGCUUCCUUUAAACCCGAGGAGAUGCCUCCUCGGGUUGUUACGCGGUAUUAGACGGAAUUUCUUCCGCUUAUCCCCCUGCUACGGGCAGGUUUCAUACGUGUUACUCACCCGUGCGCCGGUCGCCGGCGGG
RNAcentral lists this ribosomal RNA (274 nucleotides) under uncultured bacterium. RNAcentral describes it as "partial 16S ribosomal RNA". The record is from RNAcentral.